Canis lupus familiaris (dog) is the source of this 987-nucleotide long non-coding RNA. RefSeq lists it as uncharacterized. The transcript has 4 exons. The record is from RefSeq and is a predicted model, not a curated record. NCBI's taxonomy places the organism in Eukaryota, Metazoa, Chordata, Mammalia, Carnivora, Canidae.
AUUUGGCCGCCCCAGGUGUGAUGGGAGAAGGGGCUGAAGAACAGAGCACCCUCAUACCCUGUGGCUUCACUUGAGGUUCUUUCUGCCUUUGGACCCUCCCCUUCAAUGGGAAGACUAUGUGUGACAGGAGAGUAACAACUGAAAAUGUAAAAAAAUGAGGACACUGAGUUCAAGAGAGGUGAAGUCAGCUGGCCAGGGGCCCAGCAGACAAGUGGAAGAGCUAGGAUUUGAAGCCAGGUCUUCUGAGAAAGAUGAAGUGAGAGCCGCAGGCGGACACGUUCCUGCCCCUCUUGAGCUAAGAGAAAGAAGGCCACACCUACAGGGACAUCAAGUUGUUGAAGUCAGAAACGUGGGAUCCUCCUUCUCUUCCUUUCCCUCAAGCUCUGCAUUCGAUCUGCUGCCAACCUUUGUGGCUGUCCUACACGUCUCCGGAAUAUAUGCAGUUCCCACUCUGCACGGGCCCUCCUGCAGUCCCCUCAGCUCUCCGUGUUAACCCUGGCUCCUUUCCCAUCUAUUCCUGAUGACGGUGGCCGGAGGAAUUUUGAUAAAAUGCAGAUCUGGCCUUGUCACUCCUUUGCUCAAAAACCUGCUGGUGGGUCCCCAGGGCACCGUUAAUAAAACCCAGGCUUCUCUCUGUGACCUACAAAUCCCUCUGUUAUCUGGCCCUCACACGCUAUGUUCCAGCCACUCUGGCCUAUUUUCAGUUCUUCAAAUACUUGGAGUUCUCUCUGGCUCUGGAGUCACACAGACCUGGAUUUGAGUCCCAGGUAACCUUGGGCAAGUGGCUGCACCUCUCAGAGUCCCAUUCUGCUUAUCUCUGAAAUGGGUAUACUUGUGCAGCGUAUGUCAGGACUUAAACAAUACAAUGUACGUGGGACCUUCUUUUGCUUGAAACCUAUAGGUUUCCCUCGGAAAGGGGAGGAGAAAGGGAUUAAUGUAGUUUCCUGACAAUUUUCCUUGAAUUCUCUGCUUUAACAAUAAAAUAAC